GACGAAUGCUGGCGGCGUGCUUAACACAUGCAAGUCGAACGGAAAGGCCCUGCUUUUGUGGGGUGCUCGAGUGGCGAACGGGUGAGUAACACGUGAGUAACCUGCCCUUGACUUCGGGAUAACUUCAGGAAACUGGGGCUAAUACCGGAUAGGAGCUCCUGCUGCAUGGUGGGGGUUGGAAAGUUUCGGCGGUUGGGGAUGGACUCGCGGCUUAUCAGCUUGUUGGUGGGGUAGUGGCUUACCAAGGCUUUGACGGGUAGCCGGCCUGAGAGGGUGACCGGCCACAUUGGGACUGAGAUACGGCCCAGACUCCUACGGGAGGCAGCAGUGGGGAAUAUUGCACAAUGGGCGGAAGCCUGAUGCAGCAACGCCGCGUGCGGGAUGACGGCCUUCGGGUUGUAAACCGCUUUCGCCUGUGACGAAGCGUGAGUGACGGUAAUGGGUAAAGAAGCACCGGCUAACUACGUG
This 468-nucleotide ribosomal RNA is filed under the name uncultured bacterium. RNAcentral's name for it is "partial 16S ribosomal RNA". It matches the Rfam family "Bacterial small subunit ribosomal RNA", at positions 28 to 507 of the family's 1533-position model. The record is from RNAcentral.